CAAACCAUAAGUUUUAGUGGUAGUUGAGAUGAACCUAGGCCUAUGCAUAGGCCCAAUGUGUGUAUAGGCCCAAGUCCAUUUCAAAACCCAUGUCAAGCAAGAGGAUGCUUACUUAGGGUUAAACUUUAAGGACAUAAAUUUUUUGUUUGUGAGGGAAGGAUCGUCCUAGACCACCCCCUGUUGGUGUGUCCAGUGUACCGUAGCCUAGGAUAGAAUUUUUUUUCUUACUCUACGCGUGAGAGUUAAAGGUAUAAGGGGG
This 259-nucleotide unclassified non-coding RNA is filed under the name Hevea brasiliensis (rubber tree). The record is from RNAcentral. Lineage: Eukaryota; Viridiplantae; Streptophyta; Magnoliopsida; Malpighiales; Euphorbiaceae.